CUCAGGACGAACGCUGGCGGCGUGCCUAAUACAUGCAAGUCGAGCGGACAGAUGGGAGCUUGCUCCCUGAUGUUAGCGGCGGACGGGUGAGUAACACGUGGGUAACCUGCCUGUAAGACUGGGAUAACUCCGGGAAACCGGGGCUAAUACCGGAUGGUUGUCUGAACCGCAUGGUUCAGACAUAAAAGGUGGCUUCGGCUACCACUUACAGAUGGACCCGCGGCGCAUUAGCUAGUUGGUGAGGUAACGGCUCACCAAGGCGACGAUGCGUAGCCGACCUGAGAGGGUGAUCGGCCACACUGGGACUGAGACACGGCCCAGACUCCUACGGGAGGCAGCAGUAGGGAAUCUUCCGCAAUGGACGAAAGUCUGACGGAGCAACGCCGCGUGAGUGAUGAAGGUUUUCGGAUCGUAAAGCUCUGUUGUUAGGGAAGAACAAGUGCCGUUCAAAUAGGGCGGCACCUUGACGGUACCUAACCAGAAAGCCACGGCUAACUACGUGCCAGCAGCCGCGGUAAUACGUAGGUGGCAAGCGUUGUCCGGAAUUAUUGGGCGUAAAGGGCUCGCAGGCGGUUUCUUAAGUCUGAUGUGAAAGCCCCCGGCUCAACCGGGGAGGGUCAUUGGAAACUGGGGAACUUGAGUGCAGAAGAGGAGAGUGGAAUUCCACGUGUAGCGGUGAAAUGCGUAGAGAUGUGGAGGAACACCAGUGGCGAAGGCGACUCUCUGGUCUGUAACUGAC
This 739-nucleotide ribosomal RNA is filed under the name Bacillus sp. (in: firmicutes). RNAcentral's name for it is "bacterial SSU rRNA". It matches the Rfam family "Bacterial small subunit ribosomal RNA", at positions 23 to 744 of the family's 1533-position model. The record is from RNAcentral. Lineage: Bacteria; Bacillati; Bacillota; Bacilli; Caryophanales; Bacillaceae.